UACGUAGGGACCAAGCGUUGUCCGGAAUUACUGGGCGUAAAGCGUGCGCAGGCGGCGCGUUAAGACAGGUGUGAAAGCCCCGAGCUUAACUUGGGAAUUGCGCUUGUGACUGGCGUGCUGGAGUGUGGCAGAGGGAGGUGGAAUUCCACGUGUAGCAGUGAAAUGCGUAGAGAUGUGGAGGAACACCGAUGGCGAAGGCAGCCUCCUGGGCCAGCACUGACGCUCAUGCACGAAAGCGUGGGGAGCAAACAGG
This 253-nucleotide ribosomal RNA is filed under the name uncultured bacterium. Its description in RNAcentral is "partial 16S ribosomal RNA". It matches the Rfam family "Bacterial small subunit ribosomal RNA", at positions 524 to 776 of the family's 1533-position model. The record is from RNAcentral.